GGCAUUUACACAUCAGCUCCGGCUUUCUCGGAUGGUCAGCAUUCGAGGAUUAGAUGGACCACCAAGGACCAAGGACUACGAGCACGCACUCUCGGGACACAGGAGUGCUGAGCUUAUAAGCCGCAGCAAACGGCUUACGCUCCAAAAUCCACGGCUAGAAAAUUUCACCCAAGGAUCAUGUUUUUAAAUCAGCCAACUAAGAGCUAAAAGGUCUUUACCUUAUAGAAUCAUGUAGUUAUUUCUUAUUGGCAUUGAAAGGAAUCUAAACAAAUAAUAAAAAAGAAUGUAAGGAAUGUUCAAAUGUCCCCAUUUUCCGCAGUGCCCAUGCUUGCAGGACUCACUCAACUGGCCGACUAAACAUUCCUGUGGAUGCUUUAAAAUGUUUGCGCCGGCUAUGCAAAUAAAUCCAAGUCGUGGCCAAAAACUCAAUUUCGGGCAGCUAGUGCAGCAGCUGCUACUCGAAUGUGGAACUGUAGGAACCCCCUCAGGAAGACCCUACCCCACCCCCCUUUGGGGGGUUUGUCAAUCCCACAGCAAGCGGAGCAUAUGGCGACAAACAGCGGGCGCCGCUUUCUAUUUGUUUGCCUGCAAACACGCAGAGAAAAGCGAAUAGAACACGGAGUGUGGAACGUAGUGGGGUGAAGCCCAGCGCCAAGGACAAAGGACGAGAAGAACGAAGGCUGCUCAGCAUGCACUAGACCCAUUUCGUGAAUAUAUGGCAGUUCGGAAUGGCAGUUGUGGAAAUUGAGGUGGCAGCAGAAGUGGAGGCCAGCAGCUGAAUUGCAUUUGGGCAAAAACAAAACCGGAGCCAUGAAAAUCGCAUUUCGAAAAGCAUGCGAAGAGUCGAAUUCCCUUGAAUUAAAUAAGAUAGUAUUCUUAGAACUAUAAGAUUAAAAUAAAUUUUUAGAUAUGCAUUCUAAGUUUCUUUUUAGCUAACCAUAUUGGUAGUCUAACUAUAAGCAUUUUAAGCCAUUUUAAUAUUCCAUAUUUACAAUAUUUGUAUGGCUAGUUUUGCUACAUUCAAGUUACAAUCAAAGGACCCCUAACCACUAUCGAAAUCAAUGUUGAUGGACACCAGUUCUAGGAGGUUAAUCACUUCUCGAACUUGAACAGACAUCAAACGAAAUGGGCAAAAAAUGCCAAAUAUAUACUAGUUUCUUCAGUCCAGUUUCCAUCAGAACUCAAUCCUCUUGAUAAAGUCAUCAUACUCUGGUCCGACAAGGCCACAAAAAAUAACGCACACAACGUGAGGAAGCUGCGAUUCUGAAUUUCUAAGAGGUUGAGGGCGAAAAUUCGCCCCAAAAAAAAUUUGGACAAAACUGCCACCCCAAAAGUCUCACUCUUUUUGGGCUUCUGACGGAAUAUUUGCCCGAAAUUCGUUUUUCUGCACUCUGCGCACGCUUUUCUGCAUUGGGAUAGGUCCAGGAAUCAGAAAAAAAAAAGAUGUAGAAAAGGAUGGCAGUUCCGGGUUUUCGGUUGGUUUGGCCGGCUGCGCGCCCUAAAUGGAUUUAGCUUGUUCCGAUCUCGAAUCUCGUCCGUGGUUUGUUUUUCUGCGACGUCGCAAAUGGGAAAUGUGCUCGUUUGCAUGUGCCACAUGUGUCCCGGUGCUGUGUGUGCAUAAGCUGCAAUCGAAACGCUCUGCGAAACUGGCGUGGCGUUAAUACGCAAAUUCAAUUGUCAAAUCAAUGGCAAGUGGCAAAUAAAUUAAAUUCUCUUAACGCCCCAGCUGACAAUAAAGAACCAUCUGAUGAAUCAGAGGCGCAUAAUAUACGACCUGUCACGUCCCAUUACAAUAUAUAUAUUUGCACCAAGGUGUCUGAACGCAGACAGAAGCAGUGACGUGGCCGGCAGGUGGACACAAAGGCUGGCAGAGUGCACUGGGAGAAAAAAUAUUGCAUUUAUAAAAUGCAAUGCAAUCCGUAAGUUAACCAAAUACUCCGGAACAAAUCUUUAUAUCUUUCUUUUGUUUAGGCUUGAGUUACUUCGUAUUUUGCAUAAAACUGAAACAUAACUUGACUUUAUAUUAGAAAACCUUUUUCUAAGUGUGAACGGACGGAAGGCGUGUAGCCGGAUAACCAGACGGAUAUUUCUGGUCUGGCCAAAUUUCUGGGCAGUCGCACAGUGUUGGCAGCAUUUGCGGUCACUUGACGGACGGUCUAUGCACAUUUGGUCUGCUUUUUGCCAACCGCCGCAAAAGUGCCCGGAAUGAAGGACGUCAGGCAGCAGAGGGUUAAGUGGGUGGGUGGGUCAGAUGGGGGCGAAAGUGGCCGCAAGUUCGUCAACAUGGGCAAAUAUUUGCAGAUAUCCAAACGAUGUCGCACGUCUGUUGAUGUUGCUGCUGCUGCUGUUGCUGCAACUGCUACUGUGGAUGUUGAUUGUUGGUCAAGUGACCGUAAGCCAACAAUUGGUCACGAUCACUUUGCCUUUAUUGUUUUCGUUACUAGUGCUCUGUCCUCCCGUUUUUAUUGGUUUUUUUCUGGGCGAUGUCUCUCCUUUGUUUUCGCACUUGCGGCUGUUCGUGUCGCUGAUUUGACGUGACUAAUGGGUCGUUAGGCAUAUGUCCACUCAGCUGAAGGAGCAAACAGGUGGCGGGACAGGGUUGGAGCGACGGAAAAGUCAUGCUCGAACUGAGUUUUUCCCUAUUCCAAUUCUUAACAAGUUACAAAUUGCAUAGCUCGCUUCACUGGCAACCUCGCCUGGCAAAUGGCAAUGGUGCAAGACCCAAGUUGAUUGCAAUACAAGCCUUGAGAGAGGUCAAGGAUGUGGGAUACAUAGAAUGACUACUUUGUUUCAUAUAAGAUAGAUUCCGGAAGAUUUAUAUAAAAAAUAAAUAAAUUUAAAGUACAUAUUAAAUAAAAUUCAGACUGGUAUUUAUAUUUGCCUAUCUUAGCAGCAAUCCGUUAAUCCGAUAUUAUCUGCUUUGCUCACUUAAGCUUACCAUAUCCCACAUUCAAAUCAUU
Drosophila melanogaster (fruit fly) is the source of this 2960-nucleotide non-coding RNA. The record is from Ensembl. NCBI's taxonomy places the organism in Eukaryota, Metazoa, Arthropoda, Insecta, Diptera, Drosophilidae.